GCCCUCCAGAUCUCAUCUCGGCGCCGCUCGCCUCCUCCCUAGGCAGGCGCUGCCUCGUGCGCCAUUCGUGGCGACGCGCCGCCGCCCUCUGACCGGCGGCCGCCUCCUCCCCAUGCCCGCCUGCGUUGAUCGUCCUAGGCGCUUCUCCUUGUGCCGGGCAGAUGGCGGCGGUGGCGGAGGCACCGAGCGAGCGUAACUGGUGACGCGGCUAUCUAGGGCGUCGAGCCCUCCCUGCCCAGUACGGCAGUACGCCAAGAACAAGGCUAGCAAAUAUAUUCUUUUCCAUCCGCCGCCCCAUCCCGUUGAAUUUGUCACCCUGUUCAUCUCAUGGGGUGCCUACCUCCUCCAUCUGAUUAAUUUGACUUUGAAAUGUACACGAUGCACCUCUCAGGCAUUCUCUCUAGUACUUGCAAGUUGGCUUUAUUAUUGGUGGCUUUGCUGAUGCUUCCACAAAGCUAGCACAGAGCGCUGCCAGAGGAAAACAUGAUCUGCUCUCCGUUGUUUUGCUGGGCCAUAAGCUGCCUCAAAUGUACAACUUGCAAUAGAGGGCGGCUCCGAUUGGAACCCUGUUGCAGCACUUGAUGUGGAAGAAGCGUCAGAAUCUGAGACUGCUUGCUUCGUUACUUGAAGGAUGAUACAAGCACACUGAGAAUUCGCAAGUUAGCAAAGAAGGCAACUACUAAAGUUAGGCAGCCUGCUUGUUGUUACUCAUAUAGUACGGAGGAAAUAUCUUCCUAAAUAGAAUUUUCCUGAUCAGAAUACGUCUUACAUUUCUAAACGAAGAGAGUAUGGACCAAAUCUCAAAGACUGGAAAUAAUAAUGAUUAAUAAACGAGUGGUUUGUUGCCUU
Long non-coding RNA from Panicum virgatum (switchgrass), 849 nucleotides. RefSeq lists it as uncharacterized. NCBI's taxonomy places the organism in Eukaryota, Viridiplantae, Streptophyta, Magnoliopsida, Poales, Poaceae. The transcript has 2 exons. The record is from RefSeq and is a predicted model, not a curated record.